GAUGAACGCUGGCGGCGUGCCUAAUACAUGCAAGUCGAGCGAACGGACGAGAAGCUUUCUUCUCUGAUGUUAGCGGCGGACGGGUGAGUAACACGUGGAUAACCUACCUAUAAGACUGGGAUAACUUCGGGAAACCGUAGCUAAUACCGGAUAAUAUUUUGAACCGCAUGGUUCAAAAGUGAAAGACGGUCUUGCUGUCACUUAUAGCUGGAUCCGCGCUGCAUUAGCUAGUUGGUAAGGUAACGGCCUACCAAGGCAACGAUGCAUAGCCGACCUGAGAGGGUGAUCGGCCACACUGGAACUGAGACACGGUCCAGACUCCUACGGGAGGCAGCAGUAGGGAAUAUUGCGCAAUGGGCGAAAGCCUGGCGGAGCAACGCCGCGUGAGUGAUGAAGGUCUUCGGAUCGUAAAACUCUGUUAUUAGGGAAGAACAUAUGUGUAAGUAACUGUGCACAUCUUGACGGUACCUAAUCAGAAAGCCACGGCUAACUACGUG
RNAcentral lists this ribosomal RNA (497 nucleotides) under uncultured bacterium. RNAcentral describes it as "partial 16S ribosomal RNA". It matches the Rfam family "Bacterial small subunit ribosomal RNA", at positions 28 to 507 of the family's 1533-position model. The record is from RNAcentral.